RNAcentral lists this ribosomal RNA (1338 nucleotides) under uncultured bacterium. RNAcentral's name for it is "bacterial SSU rRNA". It matches the Rfam family "Bacterial small subunit ribosomal RNA", at positions 28 to 1381 of the family's 1533-position model. The record is from RNAcentral.
GACGAACGCUGGCGGCGUGCCUAACACAUGCAAGUCGAACGGUAAGGCCCCUUCGGGGGUACACGAGUGGCGAACGGGUGAGUAACACGUGAGCAACCUGCCCCUGACUUUGGAAUAACAGUUGGAAACAGCUGCUAAUACCGGAUAUGACUCGGCCCUGCAUGGGGUUGGGUGGAAAGCUCCGGCGGUCAGGGAUGGGCUCGCGGCCUAUCAGCUAGUUGGUGAGGUAAUGGCUCACCAAGGCUUCGACGGGUAGCCGGCCUGAGAGGGCGACCGGCCACACUGGGACUGAGAUACGGCCCAGACUCCUACGGGAGGCAGCAGUGGGGAAUAUUGCACAAUGGGCGAAAGCCUGAUGCAGCAACGCCGCGUGCGGGAUGACGGCCUUCGGGUUGUAAACCGCUUUCACCCAUGACGAAGCGAGAGUGACGGUAGUGGGAGAAGAAGCACCGGCCAACUACGUGCCAGCAGCCGCGGUGAUACGUAGGGUGCGAGCGUUGUCCGGAAUUAUUGGGCGUAAAGGGCUUGUAGGCGGUCUGUCGCGUCGGAAGUGAAAACUCGAAGCUUAACUUCGAGCCUGCUUCCGAUACGGGCAGACUAGAGGGAUGCAGGGGAGAACGGAAUUCCUGGUGGAGCGGUGGAAUGCGCAGAUAUCAGGAGGAACACCGGUGGCGAAGGCGGUUCUCUGGGCAUUACCUGACGCUGAGAAGCGAAAGCGUGGGGAGCAAACAGGCUUAGAUACCCUGGUAGUCCACGCCGUAAACGGUGGGCACUAGGUGUGGGGGACAUUCCACGUUCUCCGUGCCGAAGCUAACGCAUUAAGUGCCCCGCCUGGGGAGUACGGCCGCAAGGCUAAAACUCAAAGGAAUUGACGGGGGCCCGCACAAGCGGCGGAGCAUGCGGAUUAAUUCGAUGCAACGCGAAGAACCUUACCUGGGUUUGACAUAUGCCGGAAAGCUGCAGAGAUGCAGCCCCCGCAAGGUCGGUUUACAGGUGGUGCAUGGCUGUCGUCAGCUCGUGUCGUGAGAUGUUGGGUUAAGUCCCGCAACGAGCGCAACCCUCGUUCUAUGUUGCCAGCACGUUAUGGUGGGGACUCAUAGGAGACUGCCGGGGUCAACUCGGAGGAAGGUGGGGAUGACGUCAAGUCAUCAUGCCCCUUAUGUCCAGGGCUUCACGCAUGCUACAAUGGCCGGUACAAAGGGCUGCGAGACCGUAAGGUUUAGCGAAUCCCAAAAAGCCGGUCUCAGUUCGGAUUGGGGUCUGCAACUCGACCCCAUAAAGUCGGAGUCGCUAGUAAUCGCAGAUCAGCAACGCUGCGGUGAAUACGUUCCCGGGCCU